This 66-nucleotide transfer RNA is filed under the name Idioscopus clypealis. RNAcentral's name for it is "tRNA-Cys". Lineage: Eukaryota; Metazoa; Arthropoda; Insecta; Hemiptera; Cicadellidae. The record is from RNAcentral.
AAUCUUUUAGUUUAAAUAAAACAUUAAAUUGCAAAUUUAAAGAUAAAUUAAAUAAUUUUAAGAUUU